This is a non-coding RNA of Oncorhynchus mykiss (rainbow trout), 2886 nucleotides long. The record is from RefSeq and is a predicted model, not a curated record. NCBI's taxonomy places the organism in Eukaryota, Metazoa, Chordata, Actinopteri, Salmoniformes, Salmonidae.
UUUCACCUGGAUUCACCUUCUCAGUCUAUGUCAUGGACAGAGCAGGUGUUCCUAAUGUUUUUUACACUCAGUCCAUUUUACAUACAUGGUAGGCUACUUUUAUACACAGUAUAAAAUAUACACAUUACUUUCCUUGCAAAAAUGUAUUUGUUGCUGCAAAGUUCCCGCAAGUUUGUGACAAAAUGUUGCCAGAAGUUGUUUGCCACUAGUGGUGAAUUUGCAGCAAACCUUUGGCAACAACAAUAUUUAUUACGACUAGUGGCAAACAGUUCACCAAUUUGUUUCUGGAAAACAAUUCUCUCGAGAUUAUAUUUGAAUCUGUGCAAACCUGUGGCAACAAUAUGUACUGCCACUAGUGGCUCCCAGUUUACCAGAGGUUGUUUCUGGUGGGCACAUCAUUUCAAAGACCAGUAACUUUUGACGACCAGUCAAGGAGAUAAGAAAAAUCUGAUGGAAAUGGAAACCAAGAAAUCUACCUACCAAAGUUGUCCGAAGCAAUCAGUUAUCAGGCAAAGAGACAGAUUGAGGCCUUCAAUCAAACGGAGGACUGAGAAAUAUGCAUGCACCAGGUCAAGACUUCUUGCAUGCAUGGCCUUGAGAUGAAAGUUAUCAAUUAUUUGUUUAGGAAAAUAAUAUGGAUUUCCAUAUAGGCAUAACAAAAUGUUUAUGUUGCUCUUCUUCCACCCAAGCCUUAUACACCUGAGUCAGAAAGAAGUGACAACUAGUAGAAAAGUGGCUCUUGAUAAUGAUGUCCCCAGUCCAGAUUGAAGAUCUGAGUUUUAAUCCAUUGUAUUGAGGCUUGACUGGAGGAAAUAAUUUUUUGUGGCUCUCUAGAAACACACAUUUUGGAGGUAGGUGUAAUAAGUCCCAGUAUGCUAGCUACAUUGUUUGUUCAUAUAGCAUUUAUACAAGGCAGAUUGUUUCCUUUCUGAAAAAUAGAUAUAAUGCCAGUUUCAGUGGGAAGCGUAGCAACAUCCCACUGGGCAAAAACUGUUUGUAUCAACAUUGUUUCCACGUCAUUUCGACCCCCAAAAAUCUAUGUGAUGACUUUGAAUCAAUGUGGAAAACUAAUUGGAUUUGCAAAAAGUCAUCAAGUAAGGGAAUUUCACCUCUUUUUUUUUUUUUUUUUUUUACCCAAUCUUGAACCUAACUCCAAUAACACGUUCAUUUUUUUGGGGGGGGGGAUUUCACAUUGAAUAAACAUUUUGUUUACAACUCAUGCAAAUGUGAAUCAAAACUAGAUAUUGAACUGACGACUGUGCCCGUGGGGAUGCAGCCUAACCCCAUUUUUCUUAUCCUGCCCAUUAGCUGCUGAGUCAAAUUAAAAAAAAAAUGUUUUCAGUAGGCCUAUAUUAAUGUUGUUUUCUGAUUGUUUCAGUGCAUGCAUUCAGCAAGCGUUCGACAGGAUUUCUACAGGGCCGCCAGGUAGGCUAGCAGUUAAGAGCAUUUGGCCAGUAACCAAAAUGUCGCUGGUUCAAAUCCCGAGCUGAGUAAGUGAAAGAUGUGAGCAAUGUGCUUAACCCUAAUGGUUCCUGUAAAUUGAUCUGGAUUAGUGCAUCUGCUAAAUGACAAAAAAUUGAAGUAAAGUUCAGUCAGAGGCUAUACUUCUUGAAUGCUCAUGUAAAUUCUGAAGUUGCCCCUUGAGAACUCCUGGAUAUUUCUCUCAUGUAAAUGUUGUAGUUUUUGCUCUUUUCUUCAUUAACACUGCAUUAUGUUUUUAUUGUGAGAUAGUUAAGAACGUUGUAUUGGAUUUUAUGUGUUUAGACAUUGAAUACAUUUUGUUUAGUUGUUUAGUUCUCUGUGAGAAGCAAGUACAUUUAAAGUUAUUUGUGAUUUGGUUGAUGUCUAAAACAUUUUGAUGUUGUUUAAUACACUAAAUAACCAAUUUGCAUAUUCAUAAUGAUUUUGCAGCAAACAGUAGAAUGUUCGCCACAAGUUUCUCAGAGUAGUUUGCCAGAAGAUCACAAGUCGGCCCAAAUGUGCGCAACAGAAUUAAUUUGCAUGUGAAAAUAUAAGCUUGCUGCAAAUAGGCCAAAGAUUUGCCACAACUCUUUGCCAGAAGCCUGUUUUUUUGGUAAUGGCUAGUUCUCUGGACUUUUACUUUGAUGAAGUAGGCUAGGAUAGGAUAGAAAAUAGGUAUAUGAUCUGAGUCAUUAAAUGUCAGGGAGAUGAUCACUUUUAAAGGGGAACUGCACCUGCUGAUUUGGCCUCGUUUUUUGGCUUGUUCCUCAAGAAAUGUUGCAAAUAAUAAUUCAGAGACGUCAAAAUCUCCAUCACAUCAUCUUGCAAGUCUCCAAGUGCUGGUUCUGUUAGAUGCAUCCGUGAACUGCCAAUGGCAGGUGAUAGGUGAUAUCUAUGUUGAAGUUUGAACAGGUUCUCCCCAUCGAUGACUGUUGGUGAGCCAAUGCUCACCAACAGUCAUCGAUGGGGAGAACCCAUAGCAAUGUAGAUCAGCUUGGUCGCAAUGAUCAGCUAUGUUGAAUCUGGGUGCAGACACAAACGCAGAGCAUUAUCAAUGGCCUGUUCAGGGGCAGAACGACAGAUUUGUACCUUGUCAGCUCGGGGGUUUGAACUUGCAACCUUCCGGUUACUAGUCCAACGCUCUAACCACUAGGCUACCCUGCCACACCAGAUUAUCAAUGGUGGUUAUGAUUAGCCUGGUGAAACCAACCUGAUCACUACAUUCACCUUUCUAUUUCACUUCAGAUAUCAUAAAGUGUAAUAGAAUGGGGAACACAGCGAUUAGGCUGGGUCCACCAGGCUAGGUUAUACUCUGGACAUUAUUAUAUGCAUAUAAUAAAUGGAAGAUAAACAACAAAUUCAUGUCAGUUUACAUAAAUUAUGUUUCACAAUUGGUUUAUCAAAUAUAUAAAAGUAAUGAAGUGG